GUGCCAGCAGCCGCGGUAAGACAGAGGGUGCAAACGUUGCUCGGAAUCACUGGGCGUAAAGGGCGUGUAGGCGGGAAGGAAAGUCAGAUGUGAAAUCCCCAGGCUCAACCUGGGAACUGCAUUUGAAACUCCCUUUCUUGAGUACCGGAGAGGAAAGUGGAAUUCCUGGUGUAGAGGUGAAAUUCGUAGAUAUCAGGAGGAACACCAGUGGCGAAGGCGGCUUUCUGGACGGUAACUGACGCUGAGACGCGAAAGCGUGGGGAGCAAACAGGAUUAGAAACCCUCGUAGUCC
Molecule: ribosomal RNA, 292 nt
Filed under: uncultured bacterium
Lineage: Bacteria
Description: partial 16S ribosomal RNA
Rfam family: Bacterial small subunit ribosomal RNA
Source: RNAcentral